RNAcentral lists this ribosomal RNA (236 nucleotides) under uncultured bacterium. RNAcentral describes it as "partial 16S ribosomal RNA". It matches the Rfam family "Bacterial small subunit ribosomal RNA", at positions 99 to 334 of the family's 1533-position model. The record is from RNAcentral.
CGCACGGGUGAGUAACACGUAUCCAACCUGCCGUCACUCUUGGCCAGCCUUCUGAAAGGAAGAUUAAUCCAGGAUGGCAUCAUGAGUUCACAUGUCCGCAUGAUUAAAGGUAUUUUCCGGUAGACGAUGGGGAUGCGUUCCAUUAGAUAGUAGGCGGGGUAACGGCCCACCUAGUCAACGAUGGAUAGGGGUUCUGAGAGGAAGGUCCCCCACAUUGGAACUGAGACACGGUCCAA